This 348-nucleotide ribosomal RNA is filed under the name Triticum aestivum (bread wheat). RNAcentral's name for it is "partial small subunit ribosomal RNA". Lineage: Eukaryota; Viridiplantae; Streptophyta; Magnoliopsida; Poales; Poaceae. The record is from RNAcentral.
AUGAACACACUUUUAGACCAGUACCUCGGUUUCUGUAUAUCUUCUCUCAAGACGCAAGCUGGAAUAAUGGUGAUCGAGAGUAACAGCCCUGCAGACGGCAUCGUCAAGCUCAUUGAUCAGAAUCACAUCACAGACUUUGUCAUGGGAACAUCUUCCUUCUCACUGAAGAGGAAAGUACCAAAAUCAAAAGUCGCAGCCAUCGUGCAUCUACAGGCUAAACCAUAUUGCCAGAUCUUCUAUAUUUGCAACGGAACUCUUGCUUGUUCUAGGGAGGCCACUCAGCUUUCUACAAAAGUAGUCACCCCCAAGCAACUGCACCGGCACUGCUUGGCGACCCGAGUUCCCUAA